RNAcentral lists this transfer RNA (62 nucleotides) under Syllis sp. JYC-2022. Its description in RNAcentral is "tRNA-Pro". Lineage: Eukaryota; Metazoa; Annelida; Polychaeta; Phyllodocida; Syllidae. The record is from RNAcentral.
CAGAUGAUAAGUUAAUAAAACUUUUUGCUUUGGAAGUAAAGAUUGGUUAAUCCCUCGUCUGA